GAUGAACGCUGGCGGCGUGCUUAACACAUGCAAGUCGAACGGGAUGCUUACAGUGGAGACUUCGGUCAAAGCAGUAAGAUAUCUAGUGGCGGACGGGUGAGUAACGCGUGGGUAACCUGCCCAUGAGAGGAGGAUAACAGGGAGAAAUCUUUGCUAAUACUCUAUAUGCUUACGGUAUCGCAUGAUACAGUGAGGAAAGAAUUUCGCUCAUGGAUGGACCCGCGUUUGAUUAGCCAGUUGGUGGGGUAACGGCCUACCAAAGCUACGAUCAAUAGCCGGCCUGAGAGGGUGAUCGGCCACAUUGGGACUGAGACACGGCCCAAACUCC
RNAcentral lists this ribosomal RNA (328 nucleotides) under uncultured Lachnospiraceae bacterium. RNAcentral describes it as "bacterial SSU rRNA". It matches the Rfam family "Bacterial small subunit ribosomal RNA", at positions 28 to 339 of the family's 1533-position model. The record is from RNAcentral. Lineage: Bacteria; Bacillati; Bacillota; Clostridia; Lachnospirales; Lachnospiraceae.